UAUGUUAAGUGGAAAAGGAUGUGGCGUUGCCCAGACAACUAGGAUGUUGGCUUAGAAGCAGCCAUCAUUUAAAGAGUGCGUAAUAGCUCACUAGUCGAGUGACACUGCGCCGAAAAUGUACCGGGGCUAAACAUAUUACCGAAGCUGUGGAUUGUCCUUUGGACAAUGGUAGGAGAGCGUUCUAAGGGCGUUGAAGCAUGAUCGUAAGGACAUGUGGAGCGCUUAGAAGUGAGAAUGCCGGUGUGAGUAGCGAAAGACGGGUGAGAAUCCCGUCCACCGAUUGACUAAGGUUUCCAGAGGAAGGCUCGUCCGCUCUGGGUUAGUCGGGUCCUAAGCUGAGGCCGACAGGCGUAGGCGAUGGAUAACAGGUUGAUAUUCCUGUACCACCUAUAAUCGUUUUAAUCGAUGGGGGGACGCAGUAGGAUAGGCGAAGCGUGCGAUUGGAUUGCACGUCUAAGCAGUAAGGCUGAGUAUUAGGCAAAUCCGGUACUCGUUAAGGCUGAGCUGUGAUGGGGAGAAGACAUUGUGUCUUCGAGUCGUUGAUUUCACACUGCCGAGAAAAGCCUCUAGAUAGAAAAUAGGUGCCCGUACCGCAAACCGACACAGGUAGUCAAGAUGAGAAUUCUAAGGUGAGCGAGCGAACUCUCGUUAAGGAACUCGGCAAAAUGACCCCGUAACUUCGGGAGAAGGGGUGCUCUUUAGGGUUAACGCCCAGAAGAGCCGCAGUGAAUAGGCCCAAGCGACUGUUUAUCAAAAACACAGGUCUCUGCUAAACCGUAAGGUGAUGUAUAGGGGCUGACGCCUGCCCGGUGCUGGAAGGUUAAGAGGAGUGGUUAGCUUCUGCGAAGCUACGAAUCGAAGCCCCAGUAAACGGCGGCCGUAACUAUAACGGUCCUAAGGUAGCGAAAUUCCUUGUCGGGUAAGUUCCGACCCGCACGAAAGGCGUAACGAUUUGGGCACUGUCUCAACGAGAGACUCGGUGAAAUCAUAGUACCUGUGAAGAUGCAGGUUACCCGCGACAGGACGGAAAGACCCCGUGGAGCUUUACUGUAGCCUGAUAUUGAAAUUCGGCACAGCUUGUACAGGAUAGGUAGGAGCCUUUGAAACGUGAGCGCUAGCUUACGUGGAGGCGCUGGUGGG
RNAcentral lists this ribosomal RNA (1140 nucleotides) under Staphylococcus aureus. RNAcentral's name for it is "partial 23S ribosomal RNA". It matches the Rfam family "Bacterial large subunit ribosomal RNA", at positions 1055 to 2196 of the family's 2925-position model. Lineage: Bacteria; Bacillati; Bacillota; Bacilli; Caryophanales; Staphylococcaceae. The record is from RNAcentral.